UGUUCAAGCCAGGAGUAUGGCACACAUCUAUCAUCACAGCAUUCAGGAGCCUGGGGCAAGAGGACUGCCCUGAGUUCCAGGCCAGCCUGGGCUACACAGUGAGAUCCUGUCUCAAUAAAUAAAUAAAUACGUAAGUUAUCCACUCAUUUCAAUCUUUACAUUUUGCUUGUAUAAAAUUACAUAUAAAUAAAAUUAUCAGUAAUCCAAGUUAGUUUCUGUUAGUAGUUACACCAUUCUCUAGUUUCUAAUGUUGCUUGUGUUCUCUUCUUAGGGAGAUGCAUUUGAACUGCAGGCAAUAGGAGAGAAUUUCCCCAGCAGAACGACAGCAACCAGAUACAACAUCAAUACCCAGUCACACUUCCUGGAACUGUCGUGGUAUGUCCUGAGGAAGAGAGGCCGUGAACCCCAAUCUGCGGAGGAAAACGUGUAGGGUGCACUGCACACAGAUCUGAUACGCAUGGGCACUGGGGAAGUGUAGUUUUUCCUGUGUGAUGUUCCUGCACAUCAGAAAACGUCUCUAUGGCCCAUCACUUUCUGG
RNAcentral lists this long non-coding RNA (538 nucleotides) under Chinchilla lanigera (long-tailed chinchilla). RNAcentral describes it as "lncRNA (ENSCLAG00000026428.1)". Lineage: Eukaryota; Metazoa; Chordata; Mammalia; Rodentia; Chinchillidae. The record is from RNAcentral.